AUGUUGGCUAUGUUUGUCAAGGGGCACUUUAGGAAUUUCCUUUCUUCAGGUGUCAGCUAAUGUGGUUGAAACAGAGAGAGGAUGCCAGCUGUUGUUGUUAAAAUAAAUGGAGAGAAGGAGAUAACACAGAAGAUAGAGAUAGAGAAGAUAGAGUAGAGUAGAGUGAAAGGAAGCCGGAAGAGGAGUCGGCCAUGUACUCCUGGUUUUGGUGAUGAACAAUUGAACAGUAAUAGCGGUGGUCUGCAGGACGGCUAAUGAUGUUGCGGUGGUUGUAGCCGGCGUGGGUGGAUUUCUUUAUGUACUAUCUUUGCGGAAGAGAAUAGUGGUAAUGAUGAAAGACAUUACCGGUGAACCAAAACAACCGCUGUAAAUUGCUUAGAAAGCUACUACGAAGACAGGUGUUGAUUUGUAGAGGGAGAGAGAGAGAAAGUGACGAUUGUGUGGGUUUUAUCUUUAUGUACUUUUUUUAAGAAAUAAAGUACCAAACAAUUUUGAGUUUUUGAUUUCUGGUUUUUGAUCUUCAGAUACGAAGUUGAUGAUGGUGAUUUUUAAUUUGCAGAAAGUAUCAAAAGUGUAGGUGGUGAGUAGUAAUGGUGUUUUUCAUAUGAAGAUAGCAGAGGAUGAUGAUGCUGCCACAAAGCAUUAAAGGUCUCAAAAUCUUGGAAAAAUCAUUGUAUUAAAUGUAUUUAAAUAAUUCUACGGUUUGAUUUAAAAAACAAAAUUAUUCAUAAAAAUACAUUUAUUAAUUGUAUUGAUAUAAC
This 761-nucleotide long non-coding RNA is filed under the name Helianthus annuus (common sunflower). Its description in RNAcentral is "sRNA HanXRQr2_Chr03g0112371". The record is from RNAcentral. Lineage: Eukaryota; Viridiplantae; Streptophyta; Magnoliopsida; Asterales; Asteraceae.